Molecule: long non-coding RNA, 537 nt
Filed under: Mytilus galloprovincialis (Mediterranean mussel)
Lineage: Eukaryota; Metazoa; Mollusca; Bivalvia; Mytilida; Mytilidae
Source: RNAcentral
AUAAUAAAAUUGAGAAUGGAAAUGGGGAAUGUGUCAAAGAGACAACAACCCGACCAAAUAAAAAAAAACAACAGCAGAGGGUCACCAACAGGUCUUCAAUGUAGCGAGAAAUUCCUGCACCCGGAGGCGUCCUUCAGCUGGCCCCUAAACAAAUAUAUACUAGUCCAGUGAUAAUGAACGCCAUACUAAUUUCCAAAUUGUACACAAGAAACUAAAAUUAAAAUAAUACAAGACUAACAAAGGCCAGAGGCUCCUGACUUGGGACAGGCGCAAAAAUGCGGCGGGGUUAAACAUGUUUGUGAGAUCACAACCCUCCCCCUACACCUCUAACCAAUGUAGUAAAGUAAACGCAUAACAAUACGCACAUUAAAAUUCAGUUCAAGAGAAAUCCGAGUCUGAUGUCAGAACAUGUAACCAAAGAAAAUAAACAAAAUGACAAUAAUACAUAAAUAACAACAGACUACUAGCAGUUAACUGACAUGCCAGCUCCAGACUUCAAUUAAACUGACUGAAAGAUUAUGAUUUCAUCAUAUGAAC